CCUACGGGAGGCAGCAGUAAGGAAUAUUGGACAAUGCUCGCAAGAGUGAUCCAGCCAUGCCGCGUGCAGGAAGAAUGCCCUAUGGGUAGUAAACUGCUUUUGAACUAGAGAAAACCCCAGUACGUGUACUGGGCUGAUAGUAUAGUUAGAAUAAGCAUCGGCUAACUUCGUGCCAGCAGCCGCGGUAAGACGAAGGAUGCAAGCGUUAUCCGGAUUCAUUGGGUUUAAAGGGAGCGUAGGUGGACUGAUAAGUCAGUGGUGAAAUCUCCGAGCUUAACUCGGAAAUUGCCAUUGAUACUGUUGGUCUUGAGUACAGUUGCUGUGGGCGGAAUAUGACAUGUAGUGGUGAAAUACAUAGAGAUGUCAUAGAACACCGAUUGCGAAGGCAGCUCACAAAGCUGUAACUGACACUGAGGCUCGAAAGUGCGGGGAUCAAACAGGAUUAGAUACCCUGGUAGUCCGCACCGUAAACGAUGAUUACUCGCUGCUAGGGGGCAACCUUUAGUGGCUUAGCGAAAGCGANAAGUAAUCCACCUGGGGAGUACGCCGGCAACGGUGAAACGUCAAAGGAAUUAGACGGCGUUGGAGGACGNGCGAGGACGACGACGAGGGAGGAGG
RNAcentral lists this ribosomal RNA (618 nucleotides) under uncultured bacterium. RNAcentral's name for it is "bacterial SSU rRNA". It matches the Rfam family "Bacterial small subunit ribosomal RNA", at positions 338 to 957 of the family's 1533-position model. The record is from RNAcentral.